RNAcentral lists this ribosomal RNA (439 nucleotides) under uncultured bacterium. RNAcentral's name for it is "partial 16S ribosomal RNA". It matches the Rfam family "Bacterial small subunit ribosomal RNA", at positions 339 to 795 of the family's 1533-position model. The record is from RNAcentral.
CUACGGGGCGCAGCAGUGAGGAAUAUUGCACAAUGGAGGAAACUCUGAUGCAGCAACGCCGCGUGGAGGAUGACGCAUUUCGGUGUGUAAACUCCUUUUAUAUGUCAAGAAAAUGACGGUAGCAUAUGAAUAAGCUCCGGCUAACUCCGUGCCAGCAGCCGCGGUAAUACGGGGGGAGCAAGCGUUACUCGGAAUCACUGGGCGUAAAGGACGCGUAGGCGGGAUAGAAAGUCAGGUGUGAAAUCCUAUGGCUCAACCAUAGAACUGCACUUGAAACUUCUAACCUAGAGUAUGGGAGGGGAAGAUGGAAUUAGUGGUGUAGGGGUAAAAUCCGUAGAUAUCACUAGGAAUACCAAAAGCGAAGGCGAUCUUCUGGAACAAUACUGACGCUAAGGCGUGAAAGCGUGGGGAGCAAACAGGAUUAGAUACCCGAGUAGUC